This 207-nucleotide long non-coding RNA is filed under the name Mytilus galloprovincialis (Mediterranean mussel). Lineage: Eukaryota; Metazoa; Mollusca; Bivalvia; Mytilida; Mytilidae. The record is from RNAcentral.
AUUAAAUGUCAUGUGAGCUUGUGACUCAACUUGGUGUCUGUGGUAAUCCAUUACUUCUCCGAUUCAGAAUUACCAAAAAACUAUUAUAAGAAAAUAAAAAUAAAGAUUCAAGAUUUCUCCAAAUUUCCACUAAACAUGUCCUCAUUUAGUAGGACUCUAUCAUGUGUGUCCCCACUUGAUGGUACUUGGACAAUCAUAUGUGUGUCC